RNAcentral lists this ribosomal RNA (236 nucleotides) under uncultured bacterium. RNAcentral's name for it is "partial 16S ribosomal RNA". It matches the Rfam family "Bacterial small subunit ribosomal RNA", at positions 100 to 334 of the family's 1533-position model. The record is from RNAcentral.
CCGGCACGGGUGAGUAACACGUAUCCAACCUGCCGUCUACUCUUGGCCAGCCUUCUGAAGGAAGAUAAUCCAGGAUGGCAUCAUGAGUUCACAUGUCCGCAUGAUUAAAGGUAUUUCCGGUAGACGAUGGGGAUGCGUUCCAUUAGAUAGUAGGCGGGGUAACGGCCCACCUAGUCAACGAUGGAUAGGGGUUCUGAGAGGAAGGUCCCCCACAUUGGAACUGAGACACGGUCCAA